This 492-nucleotide ribosomal RNA is filed under the name uncultured bacterium. RNAcentral describes it as "bacterial SSU rRNA". It matches the Rfam family "Bacterial small subunit ribosomal RNA", at positions 30 to 518 of the family's 1533-position model. The record is from RNAcentral.
UGAACGCUAGCGACAGGCUUAACACAUGCAAGUCAGGGGCAGCACAAGGAGCAAUCUGAGGUGGCGACCGGCGCACGGGUGAGUAACACGUAUGCAACCUGCCUGUAAGCGGGGAAUAACCCGUUGAAAGACGGACUAAUACCGCAUAAUACUAAAUUACUGCAUGGUAAUUUAUUUAAACAUUUAUGGCUUACAGAUGGGCAUGCGCAUGAUUAGCUAGUUGGAGAGGUAACGGCUCCCCAAGGCAACGAUCAUUAGGGGUUCUGAGAGGAAGGUCCCCCACACUGGUACUGAGACACGGACCAGACUCCUACGGGAGGCAGCAGUGAGGAAUAUUGGUCAAUGGACGAGAGUCUGAACCAGCCAAGUCGCGUGCAGGAAGAAUGUCCUAUGGAUUGUAAACUGCUUUUGCAGGGGAAUAAAGUGCAUCACGUGUGAUGUUUUGUAUGUACUCUGCGAAUAAGGAUCGGCUAACUCCGUGCCAGCAGCUGC